This 119-nucleotide ribosomal RNA is filed under the name Echinops telfairi (small Madagascar hedgehog). The record is from RNAcentral. Lineage: Eukaryota; Metazoa; Chordata; Mammalia; Afrosoricida; Tenrecidae.
GUCUUUGGGUAUACCACCCUGAAUGUGCUGGGAUCUCAGAUGAUUAAAAGCUAAGCAGGAACAGGCCUGGGUUAGUACUCGGUUGAAAGAGCACGUGGGAGUGCCAAGUGCUGUAGAAA